RNAcentral lists this ribosomal RNA (497 nucleotides) under uncultured bacterium. RNAcentral describes it as "partial 16S ribosomal RNA". It matches the Rfam family "Bacterial small subunit ribosomal RNA", at positions 28 to 507 of the family's 1533-position model. The record is from RNAcentral.
GAUGAACGCUGGCGGCGUGCCUAAUACAUGCAAGUCGAGCGAACAGACGAGGAGCUUGCUCCUCUGACGUUAGCGGCGGACGGGUGAGUAACACGUGGAUAACCUACCUAUAAGACUGGGAUAACUUCGGGAAACCGGAGCUAAUACCGGAUAAUAUAUUGAACCGCAUGGUUCAAUAGUGAAAGACGGUUUUGCUGUCACUUAUAGAUGGAUCCGCGCCGCAUUAGCUAGUUGGUAAGGUAACGGCUUACCAAGGCGACGAUGCGUAGCCGACCUGAGAGGGUGAUCGGCCACACUGGAACAGAGACGCGGUCCAGACUCCUACGGGAGGCAGCAGUAGGGAAUCUUCCGCAAUGGGCGAAAGCCUGACGGAGCAACGCCGCGUGAGUGAUGAAGGUCUUCGGAUCGUAAAACUCUGUUAUUAGGGAAGAAAAAAUGUGUAAGUAACUAUGCACGUCUUGACGGUACCUAAUCAGAAAGCCACGGCUAACUACGUG